GAUGAACGCUGGCGGCGUGCCUAAUACAUGCAAGUCGAGCGAACAGACGAGGAGCUUGCUCCUCUGACGUUAGCGGCGGACGGUUGCGUAACAUGUGGAUAACCUACCUAUAAGACUUGGAUAACUUCGGGAAACCGGUGCUAAUACUGGAUAAUAUAUCGAACCGCAUGGUUCAAUAGUGUAAGACGGUUUUGCUGUCACUUAUAGAUGGAUCCGCGCCGUAGUAGCUAGUUUGUAAGGUAACGGCUUACCAAGGCAACGAUGCGUAGCCGACCUGAGAGGGUGACCGGCUUCGCUGCAGCUGAGACGCGGUCCAGUGUCCUACGAGAGGCAGCAGUAGCGAAGCUUGCGCAAUGGGCGGAAGCUUGACAGAACAUCGCCGCGUGAGUGAUGAUGGUCUGCGGAUCGUAAAACGCUGUUAUAAGGGAUAAACAAGUGUGUAAGUAACUAGGCUCGUCUUGACGGUACCUAAGCAGAAAGCCACGGGUAACUACGUG
This 497-nucleotide ribosomal RNA is filed under the name uncultured bacterium. RNAcentral's name for it is "partial 16S ribosomal RNA". It matches the Rfam family "Bacterial small subunit ribosomal RNA", at positions 28 to 507 of the family's 1533-position model. The record is from RNAcentral.